AGAUGUCUGAUUAUCCAGUUUUAUUUUCUGGUUAUACAAACCCACUUCGCAUUUUCAUGUUCAGUUUUCAGGUUUUCUUCUCUGGUUGCGUAGUAGCUGACUACUAUUUAAACUAUAUACAUAUACAAUCUACCUAGUUCACCUGCAGGUUGCACAGGUUUGUGCUAUAAAUAUACAAAUUUAUAUUCAGGUUAUGUGCCGGGCC
This 205-nucleotide long non-coding RNA is filed under the name Elaeis guineensis (African oil palm). RNAcentral's name for it is "long non-coding RNA (EGUI_LNC079606)". The record is from RNAcentral. Lineage: Eukaryota; Viridiplantae; Streptophyta; Magnoliopsida; Arecales; Arecaceae.